UGCAGUCGAGGGGCAGCGCAGGGUAGCAAUACCGGGCGGCGACCGGCGCACGGGUGAGUAACGCGUAUGCAACUUACCUAUCAGAGGGGGAUAACCCGGCGAAAGUCGGACUAAUACCGCAUGAAGCAGGGGCCCCGCAUGGGGAUAUUUGCUAAAGAUUCAUCGCUGAUAGAUAGGCAUGCGUUCCAUUAGGCAGUUGGCGGGGUAACGGCCCACCAAACCGACGAUGGAUAGGGGUUCUGAGAGGAAGGUCCCCCACAUUGGUACUGAGACACGGACCAAACUCCUACGGGAGGCAGCAGUGAGGAAUAUUGGUCAAUGGGCGUAAGCCUGAACCAGCCAAGUCGCGUGAGGGAUGAAGGUUCUAUGGAUCGUAAACCUCUUUUAUAAGGGAAUAAAGUGCGGGACGUGUCCCGUUUUGUAUGUACCUUAUGAAUAAGGAUCGGCUAACUCCGUGCCAGCAGCCGCGGUAAUACGGAGGAUCCGAGCGUUAUCCGGAUUUAUUGGGUUUAAAGGGUGCGUAGGCGGCCUUUUAAGUCAGCGGUGAAAGUCUGUGGCUCAACCAUAGAAUUGCCGUUGAAACUGGGAGGCUUGAGUAUGUUUGAGGCAGGCGGAAUGCGUGGUGUAGCGGUGAAAUGCUUAGAUAUCACGCAGAACCCCGAUUGCGAAGGCAGCCUGCCAAGCCAUGACUGACGCUGAUGCACGAAAGCGUGGGGAUCAAACAGGAUUAGAUACCCUGGUAGUCCACGCAGUAAACGAUGAUCACUAGCUGUUUGCGAUACAGUGUAAGCGGCACAGCGAAAGCGUUAAGUGAUCCACCUGGGGAGUACGCCGGCAACGGUGAAACUCAAAGGAAUUGACGGGGGCCCGCACAAGCGGAGGAACAUGUGGUUUAAUUCGAUGAUACGCGAGGAACCUUACCCGGGUUUGAACGCAUUCGGACCGAGGUGGAAACACCUUUUCUAGCAAUAGCCGUUUGCGAGGUGCUGCAUGGUUGUCGUCAGCUCGUGCCGUGAGGUGUCGGCUUAAGUGCCAUAACGAGCGCAACCCUUGCCACUAGUUACUAACAGGUAAAGCUGAGGACUCUGGUGGGACUGCCAGCGUAAGCUGCGAGGAAGGCGGGGAUGACGUCAAAUCAGCACGGCCCUUACAUCCGGGGCGACACACGUGUUACAAUGGCGUGGACAAAGGGAUGCCACCUGGCGACAGGGAGCGAAUCCCCAAACCACGUCUCAGUUCGGAUCGGAGUCUGCAACCCGACUCCGUGAAGCUGGAUUCGCUAGUAAUCGCGCAUCAGCCAUGGCGCGGUGAAUACGUUCCCGGGCCUUGUACACACCGCCCGUCAAGCCAUGGGAGCCGGGGGUACCUGAAGUCCGUAACCGAAAGGAUCG
This 1391-nucleotide ribosomal RNA is filed under the name Parabacteroides sp. RNAcentral's name for it is "bacterial SSU rRNA". It matches the Rfam family "Bacterial small subunit ribosomal RNA". Lineage: Bacteria; Pseudomonadati; Bacteroidota; Bacteroidia; Bacteroidales; Tannerellaceae. The record is from RNAcentral.